GUCUUUUUGUUUAAAUAUAAAGUCUCGCCUGCCCACUGAAUAAUUUAAAUGGCCGCGGUAUUUUGACCGUGCUAAGGUAGCAUAAUCAUUAGUUUUUUUAUUGAAAGCUGGAAUGAAGGGUUGGAUGAAAAAAAAACUGUCUUUAUUUAAUUUUUUAAGAAUUUUAUUUUUAAGUUAAAAAGCUUAAAUUUUUUUAAAAGACGAGAAGACCCUAUAGAGUUUUAUAAUUUUAUUAAUAAAUUUUUUUAGAAUUAAAUUUAUUUAUAUAUUAAAUUUAUUUAGUUGGGGUGAUUAAAAAAUAUAUAUAACUUUUUUUAUAUAAUUAUAUUGAUUAAUAAUUUAUUGAUCCAGUUUUUUUGAUUAUAAGAUUAAAUUACCUUAGGGAUAACAGCGUAAUUUUAUUGGAGAGUUCAAAUCGAUAAUAAAGAUUGCGACCUCGAUGUUGGAUUAAAAUUUAUAAUUGGUGUAGAAGCUAUAUUAUUAAGUCUGCUCGACU
This 496-nucleotide ribosomal RNA is filed under the name Diabrotica dissimilis. RNAcentral's name for it is "partial 16S ribosomal RNA". The stretch from base 384 to 496 matches the Rfam family "Bacterial large subunit ribosomal RNA", at positions 2473 to 2586 of the family's 2925-position model. The record is from RNAcentral. Lineage: Eukaryota; Metazoa; Arthropoda; Insecta; Coleoptera; Chrysomelidae.